RNAcentral lists this long non-coding RNA (265 nucleotides) under Lathyrus oleraceus (garden pea). RNAcentral describes it as "Pisum sativum (pea) long non-coding RNA (PSAT_LNC037422)". Lineage: Eukaryota; Viridiplantae; Streptophyta; Magnoliopsida; Fabales; Fabaceae. The record is from RNAcentral.
AAAAAUAAAAAUAUUUACAAAUGAAAAUAUUUACAAUUGAAAACAAAAAUAAAAAUAAAAAAACUAAAUGUUGCACAAGCGCCGCCUUGUUGAAAUUAUCAACAAUCCCCAGCAAUGGCACCCAAAACAUGAUGACUUCUCGACAAGUGUACAGAUAAUGUCGAAGUAAUAAAAAGAUUUAAUCCACAUGGAAUGCCUCCAAGCAAGACAAAAUAUGUGCAACUUGGAAAAACUAGUAAAAAAAGGGGAAAUUUUCAAGUUUCAG